This 347-nucleotide ribosomal RNA is filed under the name uncultured Pseudothermotoga sp. Its description in RNAcentral is "bacterial SSU rRNA". It matches the Rfam family "Bacterial small subunit ribosomal RNA", at positions 439 to 778 of the family's 1533-position model. The record is from RNAcentral. Lineage: Bacteria; Thermotogati; Thermotogota; Thermotogae; Thermotogales; Thermotogaceae.
UGAGGGACGAAUAAGAUCUGGAGGAAAUGCCAGAUCGAUGACGGUACCUCACGAGAAAGCCCCGGCUAACUACGUGCCAGCAGCCGCGGUAAUACGUAGGGGGCGAGCGUUACCCGGAUUCACUGGGCGUAAAGGGGGCGCAGGCGAUCCAGUAUGUCGGGUGUGAAAUCCCACAGCUCAACUGUGGAAUUGCGCCCGAAACUACUGGGUUUGGGGCUGGUAGAGGGAGACGGAACUGCUGGUGUAGGGGUGAAAUCCGUAGAUAUCAGCAGGAACGCCGGUGGGGAAGCCGGUCUCCUGGGCCAAGCCCGACGCUGAGGCCCGAAAGCUAGGGGAGCAAACCGGAU